Arabidopsis lyrata subsp. lyrata is the source of this 640-nucleotide long non-coding RNA. RefSeq lists it as uncharacterized. The record is from RefSeq and is a predicted model, not a curated record. Lineage: Eukaryota; Viridiplantae; Streptophyta; Magnoliopsida; Brassicales; Brassicaceae. The transcript is spliced from 2 exons.
UGGGUCUCAAAAACCUCACAUGGUUUUGUGUUGAAUCUCUCGGUUCUCUUUCUAAAUGUGAGGAUCUAUGCUUUAUUUUCUCACCUUUGUAUCUUCUGGAUGAUAUAUUUCCUAUGUUUUGUUGCAGUGUCAUGUAUUUGAAGAAAGUUCACUGAAAUUGAAGAAACAUUCUUAUUAUUGUCUCUUUAUCUUAUUUGCAUAAACAUACAAGCAAAGAUGGGAAGGAGAUGAUGCAACCUCCACAAUCUGCAGACCCCAUGGCUUCUUUAAGUAAGAUUUGCUUUUUAGUUUUCUUAUGAUGUACAAGGAGAACUUCCACAAGCCUUUUGUCGUCGGGCUGCUGUCAAAGGAUGUAUCUAUGGAGGAUGGGAGAAUGAUGACUCAGUCAGGGAGGCUGCAGUGAGUGGAAGGCAUCUUCAACACGCUGAGAAAACAGGACAAGAAGAGGACAAGUCAUUGGCAAGUUGAAGCUAAUGGAGACCACAUAUUUCUAUUUUGCUUGUACACCACAUUAGUUUUGUGUCAAUAAUUCCACACUCGCUUUGGGAUUUCUAUAUAUUUCACUCUUGUUCUCACAAACUAAUGCAACAAUCGUUUACAAUUCAACUCUUCUUCUUUAUACUCCAAGUGAUUUACCAAA